RNAcentral lists this ribosomal RNA (511 nucleotides) under bacterium enrichment culture clone G4 III. RNAcentral's name for it is "bacterial SSU rRNA". The record is from RNAcentral.
GGCUCGACGCUGGCGGCGUGCCUACACAUGCAGUCGAGCGGAUGCGGGGGAUUUUGCUCCCCGGCUGGAGGCGGGGGGAGGGGUGUUGCCUGUGUGUCUGCCUGCCUGUGGAUUGGGACUCCUCCCGGAGAACGGCGCUAACACCUACUUACUAUUGCCGGAAGGGGGGGAUCUUCGGACCUUCCUCUUCCGCAUGAACCUACGGCGGAUUCCCUGGCUGGUUAUGUAGUGGCUGACCUAGGCGACCAUCCAUACCUGGACUGAGAGGAUGAUCGACCACCCUGUAACUGACACUGGCACCGAACUCCUACCCGAAGCACCACUGGGGGAUAUAGUACGAAGUCUUCCAGCCUGAUCCAAACAUGCACCGAGUGUGAACAAGGGCUUCAGAUUGGGUAUCACUUUAAAUUGCUAGGAAGGGAGGUAAGAUAAUAUCUUGCAGUUUUUGCUUUACCCAUGGACGUACCACCGGCUAACUCAGUGCCUAACUCCGCGGUAACCACCGCGGUAA